Molecule: ribosomal RNA, 604 nt
Filed under: uncultured Gammaproteobacteria bacterium
Lineage: Bacteria; Pseudomonadati; Pseudomonadota; Gammaproteobacteria
Description: bacterial SSU rRNA
Rfam family: Bacterial small subunit ribosomal RNA
Source: RNAcentral
AGUCGAGCGGUAGCACAGAGAAGCUUGCUUCUUGGGUGACGAGCGGCGGACGGGUGAGUAACGCGUAGGAAUCUACCUAAUGGUGGGGGAUAGCCCAGGGAAACUUGGAUUAAUACCGCAUAAGUCCUAAGGGAGAAAGCGGGGGGUCUUCGGACCUCGUGCCAUCAGAUGAGCCUGCGUAAGAUUAGCUAGUUGGUGAGGUAAGAGCUCACCAAGGCGACGAUCUUUAGCUGGUCUGAGAGGAUGAUCAGCCACACUGGGACUGAGACACGGCCCAGACUCCUACGGGAGGCAGCAGUGGGGAAUAUUGGACAAUGGGGGCAACCCUGAUCCAGCCAUGCCGCGUGUGUGAAGAAGGCCUUCGGGUUGUAAAGCACUUUCAGAUGUGAGGAAAGGUUACAGAUUAAUACUCUGCAGCUGUGACGUUAACAUCAGAAGAAGGACCGGCUAACUCCGUGCCAGCAGCCGCGGUAAUACGGAGGGUCCGAGCGUUAAUCGGAAUUACUGGGCGUAAAGCGCGCGUAGGUGGUUUCGUCAGUCAGAUGUGAAAGCCCAGGGCUCAACCUUGGAAUUGCACCUGAUACUGCGGGACUAGAGUACGAUA